UGGCCACCUCUUCCUAUUGCAAUUUCUGUGCCUCUUGCACGAGAAUCUGUGUGUGUGCAAGUAGUACAUGAUGCUUCUAAAUACGCUCCUCGAGAGUCGAACGGGUCCUUUUGACGCGGACCCAUUCACCGGUUGAUGGUUUGGAGGAAGAGCCAUUUGCUCGCUGCUGAGGCACAUGGCGUUUUCUGAAUUCUAGAUCCGCCUUAUAAUGAAUCCCGUCAACCAGCUCCUAGGCCUUGGAUAAUUGACGCACGAGGCGUUGGCAUUGCUUUUGACGAGCCCUCUUUGACAGAGUCGGCACGCCUUCAGCACUCGACUCCUUGAUUGAGGAGGAGUUCAAAUCUGCAGAUCCGACUUCAUUGGAUGCCGGAGGGGCGUUGCAAGGCGCAACUUCAAUAGCAAUGGGAUGGUGAUCAUCGCCCUGGGUCUUCAGAUCUGAAGACUAGCGGAACUUCCUGUACUUGCGAGGGGAUGAGGAUCUGGAGGAAGAUGACAGGUAUUCCUCGUACUUCUAUUGGUCGAACUCUUACUUGACCUCUGUAUCAACCGAGAUUAGGAUCCUUGGUUGUGACACUACAGCCUCAGCAGAGAGGCUGUUGGCUCCUACUGUGGUCGCCAGCGUCUUUACGUUGAAACGUUGAAAGUUGGUUUCUUUAUUGCAGGACUCAUUACAACUUUAGUCAUUACAAUAAGUUCAAAAUGAAGGACUUUUUAUAAGACUCCUUACACAAUGAAAAUAAAAAAGUUACAACUCUUUUCAAACACACGCAGAGGACGUUUAUCACCCACUGUUUAUGUGUGAUCUUUGCAUGUGUCGGGGUUUAUCCGUAGACCAUGGAUCAGAUCCGGUUGAUCGGAAGGCUAAAUGUCCAUUGCUUCACAAAGGAAACAAGAACAGAAGUAAAUAAUCUCAACCAAGUGAGAUUACUACUCUUCUCGAGAUCAGUACAAAUUCUGAUAUCAAGGAAUAGUAGAACGGACCUCAGAUCUCUCGAAACGCUCCUUCUUUAUGCCAGAGUUCAUCAAAAUCUCGCUAGCCUCUCUGAAAUUUGUGGAUCACUCUUCACAGGGACAACACCUCGCCUAAAUUUCAGAUCCCUGUGUAUAUGACCUUAGGCUUGUAUUUAUAGGCUUCAGUUGUGGUGUUUUUGGAUAAGAACAAGUGAUUUGGUCUCAUCUUCAGUUGAUAACAUCCUAACUAUGUUUAGGGAUGAUAUCCAAGUAGUUGAGAGGCUCUGCAACAAAUAAAUCCCGAGAAAACAUUGAAAUAUGCAUUUUUAGGAACCGGGGUGUGAGUCAGAUCAAUGUGACACACGGGUGUGAGGGUCACAUUAAGGUGACAUGCGGAUGUGAGGGUCACAUUAAGGUGACCCACAGGUGACACACAUGAGUGCGGGUCACUUUGAUGCGAUUUCCAAGCGACUAUGUCUUGUUUUGGCCUUGUUCUGUCGUUUCACGCACGUUUCGACGUUUCUUUGACUUGUAUGCUUUGCUGACUUGUUUUGCUUCUCCACGGUAUCAGAUAAUCCUCUUUUGACUCGAAUAAUGGCGUUCAUCACAUUAUCGUUAUUUUGAGUUGUGUGUGGAAACCUAUAGGCAAUUUUUGAUGUCUACACCGACUUCCAUCUUUUUUUGCCUAUAAAUCCAAACUUUAUCCCCCAUUUACUUUUAAACUGACUUUCUUUGAAAAUCACUUCAAAACCACAAAAUAUUCUAUUGAAUUAAUUUCAAAUCACUUGGUAUUUUAGCAGUUUAAUACACAACAUAAGUUAUUAUAUUUUAUUAGCCUACAUUACAAAACUAGUAUUUUUUAUACACCCCUCUUUUGUCACUUUCAUAUUUUUUCUAGCUUCGGCGAAAUUCUUUUUGGGAGCCAAAUGUGCAAUUAGACCAAAAAAUUCAUAGCGAGCAAAAAAAGCCAUGCACUUUACGUAGUGCUAUUGGUGUUAUCUUAUUCAUAAGGGAAAUGCCAAAAGAUUAUUUGGCACAUUGGUAUAAUGAUAAUAACUAUGUCAAUGCCUAUACAAGAUUAAAUUUUGGCACAAAGAAGGGGAAGACAUGAUAUUACUUCCAAAUAUGGUCAAGAGAAAGUUUGGGAGGCCGAAAUAUGCUAGAGGAGGUUCGCGUCUAUUUUUCUCCAAUGGCGUAGUUAUGGGUCUAAUUGCACAUUUGGAUUAGAAAAAAAUAUCAAUAUGUAUUGCUAAAGCUAGAAAAAUGGCAAACUGAUAAGUGGAGCGUACUUACCAAUCUGGUAAUUUAGCCUAAUGUAUGAUUGAUAAUUUAACCUAUUUUACUAUUAUUUGCUACAAUUUUGUUCUAAGUCCUAAGUGUAUUUUCAAACCAAAUGCGUAAAUUGUUAUUUUUGUCCAUUUUCAGAUCAAGCGGUAUCACAAAUUAUAGAUGAGUUUUCUGCCUAUAAAUCCAAGGUAGUACCCCUAUUUAUUUUAAAAACCCAUCCACUUUCAGAAUUACCCUCAGGUACAAAUACAACACCAAAUUAAUUCUAAAUCCAUUUUAAAACAAUAGUUUUGUAUAAAAAAAUGAUAACUACAUUACUCCUACUCUACUAUAAGGUGGCGUUGUGUACCAUGUAAGAUUAAAUAACCUUUAUCAGGAAAAAGAAAGUUGUCAAAAAUUUAUGUUCUCAAAACAACCUCUUCAUCUCCUAGCUCUUCUUACACUUUCGUUCCUAUUUGACCCCGUUAAACUCAUCUACAAGGAAAGAAGUUAUGCUAAUUUUAAUGAUUUUUUAAUAAAAAGUUUAGCCUUUUCUUUUACAGUGGAUUACUUUGCACAUUUUGAUAGGCAAAGUAAGUAUAGUUGUCAAAAAUAUUACAGUGAUGUUCCUUUUUGGUUAAUAGUUCAAUCUCUUCGUAGAAACUCUUUGUUUAUUAAUCAAAAGAGUAAUAUAAUUGUUUUGUUGUAAUGACCUUCUUAAAAAAAAGAUAUUGUAAUUAGCAUGUCUUCUUCUCUUUUGUUGCUCAUAUCCCACAAAAAAAAAGGAAAAAAAAGAAAUAGAAGAUGAUAAAAACAUCUAGAAAAUUAAAAUUUAGGUAGUUUUUGUCCAAAUAUAAUUGACAAUUGAUAUCAUAUAAUCAGCAUGUCAGAACCACCUCAGCGUAGUGUAGCGUAGUAGUGUAAAAAUUAUCAUUAGCCCGCCAAACAGAAAAAAAAUGAAAAGGGUUAACAAACCCGCACGUGACCCCAAAUUCUCAUUUAUCCCGUCGAUAGACGGCUUAACUAGUCCUCGUAAGAAGGCGGAACAACCUUUAUUUCGGCUUCUCACGCGAGGGUAGACAGCGGAAUUUAGAAAAAAAAAUUCAUCUGAAUCUCGUGCGGGGAGGCAGAGCGGAGUUCGGCAGCGGAAUUAGGGGAAUUAGGCAACGGAAUUUGGAGGGAAAGAAGCAGCGGAAUUAGGGGAAUUAGGAAAAAAAUUUCAAUUUGGAUCUGUUCUCAUUACCACUAGCUUCUUUCGUCACAAGCUCUAGAUUGAACAAGGAGAUUCCUUUCGGUGAUCUUGAUGGAGAUCUGGUUGUAAAUUUUUCUGGUUUUUAGGCAAAAUUUGAUCUAUGUUUUCUCUCUCUAAGUAGAAACAAGAUGGCAGGGAGAAGAGUUUAUGGAGGUUCAGAGAUGAGUGUUUUGUUGCAGAAUGAAGGGAUUUCUUCUGAGGCUUUCCAGACUUUGAUUUUUUCUAGCUCCUCUCAUACUGGUUUCUGUGUUAAUGUGCUCAAUGGAUUAGAGAUGAAUGAGGAUGAAGAUGAGGCGGAUGAGGAAGAAGACCCCCAAUACAUGGUUGGUGCAGAUGAAAGUUUAAGGGGUGAAUAGCUUCGCAACAGGAUUGCUUUACAGUUUUGGAAUAAUUGAAAUAAGUAGUUGUUGAAUAUUAAAGUAUAAGGAGGUUGAAUUAUGUCUUUUAUUAUCUUUUAUGAGCAAAACUUAUAAUUCCAUAUAGAGCUAUUGAGUAGAUAGUUUUUUUC
Long non-coding RNA from Asparagus officinalis (garden asparagus), 3977 nucleotides. RefSeq lists it as uncharacterized. The record is from RefSeq and is a predicted model, not a curated record. NCBI's taxonomy places the organism in Eukaryota, Viridiplantae, Streptophyta, Magnoliopsida, Asparagales, Asparagaceae. The transcript has 2 exons.